AAAGCCUUGCCCCUACCCUAAAAGCCAUGCUUCUACAUAGCUUUUAGCCAUACUUGGCAGCCACCAACUCCCCUAAUUUCAGCCCUCAAACAUCUUUGCAUAGUUGAAGGAAACUCAUGCCUUGCACUUUCCUAGCAACUCAAAUUUAUUUGAUCUCAAAUAUCCUUCAAAUUACUCUCUCGUUCCAGCCUAUCCAUGGACUUUCAAGUAUACAAUAAGAGACCACCAUUCAAAGAACUCUUCCUCAACACACCAUUAUCACAAGGUUUCAUUUUCUUCUUCUUUAAACUACAUGACUUGUUUUUACAAUAUUGAAUGAGACACCUCCAUUACUUUCACAAACACAAAUCACAGCUAGCCAACAAAGAAUCACACCAAUACAUACCUUCACUGAAAUUCAUCUAAAACAACUUUUAUACGAAAAUACAUAUUUAUUCAUAAUCUGUGCAUAUACUUAUAAAUGAAAGCAUGAUUCAUUGAAAAAGAAACGAAAAGAUCUUUAUAAAUGAAGAGUUUUGAAGCCUGUUGAAAAAUGGAGUCUUGAUCUUGAUUUAGCUUGCCUUCAAGUCUGAGGUGUCGAGUUUGUUGGUAGUCUUGCUGAUGAAUCGAGUCAGGGGAGAGUGGAUUGACGGCGGCAGCCACGGCUGCCCCCUGGUCGCCGGAAUUCAAGAGAGAGAACAUGGGUUGGGGCGGUGGCUGGUCUGGGCUGGGUAUUUGUUGAGGUCAGGACGGCGGCAGCCAUGGGUCGCUGUCGCUGGGAUUUUUGAGAGGGAAGCGACUGUUGCGGCUUUGCUGAAAUCGCCGGAAACCAGGGGGAGGCAAUGGAACUCUUCGCCGUUGAAGGAGAGAGGUUCCCGGAGUUUAGUGAGAGAGGAAGAGUUUAGAGGUCGGUGCGUUGUUUGAGUCAGGGAGGCGAGAGGCUUGAGGGGCUCCUCGCCGGAAAUUUCAGGCGGCAGCCUUAGGCGGUGGUAGAUUUGGGGAUCUAGGGGUUUAUGGGAAGAGAGAGACGGCGCCGCCGCUCACAGGUGGGCGGUGGUGACCGAGGUAAAGGAGAGAGGAAGAUGAUGUGGUGAGUCGGGCAGGAGAUGACGGGCGGCGGCUGGUUCGCUGCUUCGCCGGAGAAGAGAGGGAGCCGGGCGGAUCUGUGUGAGCCGAGAGAGAGUUGAGCGGGUUUCAUUUUGAGAGUGAAGAGGGAGAGAACGAAUUCAGUGAGGAAGAAAAGGGUUAGAAGUCAUGGGCUGAGUUUGGGCCUUAACUGAUGGACUUUAUUUUCGUUUUAUUUAAAUUUAGUUGGGCCUUUAUUUUAUUUAAGGAUUUUGGGGUGCAGUUUUGAUUUAAAGGAUUUCGCUCUUAAUUAUUUUAUUUGAUUGGGCUGCAUGUUAUUUAAUUAAAGAAAUGUCUUUAAUUAGUUUAGUAAUUAGACUUUGUAAUUGGUUUAAUUAAUUCAUUAUUAUUUUAAUUAUGAUUUCAUAAUAAUAAUAAUAUAAUUAUUAUGUGUAUAUAUUAAGUGUAAUUACUCAUUACAUGAGUUAAGCAUGAAAUGAAUUUGCAUAUGCAUUUUACAAAGCAUUUAUGAUUUAAAAUUGGCUUUUAUUAAAUCCAAUUAUUAAAGAAAAAAUCGAGUAAAGAUAUUGUUGGUGUCCUUGACUCAAGGAAUUAGAUUACAAUUAUUUAUUUAUUAAAUUUGAAAAUCCGGCGUGAUGAAUCAUAAAAUGUUAAGCACUAAACUAAGACUUAAGAUUAGAUUGAGGAGACAUAUUAAGAAUAGAAUUUCUUGUAGGUUUUGUGGACCAAGGGAUUAGCGGUGCUUUUCCAAGAAAAGUUUAUGUGAUUAUGAUCUUCAGGCUUGCCUAUCCAGGUGGGCUUACUUUCCAAACGUAUAAAGUAUGAUUGAGUUAUUAAGCUUUAAAUGUUUCAAUGAAAUGCAAAUUAUUUAUUCAAUGAAAUGUAAACUGUUUAUCCAAUAAAAUGUUUAUGUACACUCUGCUCUGUUUAAUGCUCGCCACAACGAAUCAAUUGAGGUUCUCUUAUGGCCUAACACGUUAUUUGAGAAUUGUGUACACUCGUUAGCUGACUUGAUGAGUUGAUCUCCAUCGGGCACUAACUAAGAGGUGUUAUAAGGGUGCUUGCUGGAUGUGUUCCGGAGCAUGUAAUGUAAGGCCUGCCUGGGUAGUGUCCCGAGGUCAAAUGAAACUUGUCUGGGUUACGCCCUCAGUUCAAGUAAAUGGGAGAAAUGGAUCCGACAGUGGCUAAAAAGGUCCGAGAUCACAGCGAGUAAUAGAAAGGGAGUGUGACAUGUGCGCACAAAUGAAAGAAAUUAUUUUAGCAUGCUUAGAAGUUCUUUCAAUUUAAAACUUUCUAAGUCAUGUCAAGUAUGAUUGGAUAAACUGUCUUUACGAAAAUAUGAAAUGUUUCAAAAAAUGCAUGCCCACUGAGUACAUUAGUACUUAGCCCAAAAAUACUUUCAAAUGUUUUCAGGUUGGCUAGCCAGUACUGACGGGACUGAGCUGAGGCUAGGGAUCCGUUGUAGCAGUAGAUAAUAUCUUGUCUUUUAUUUUCUCAACUUAAGACUUUUAUGUUAGAUUUAGAAUAACAUCUUUGAUCGAGUUUAAACACUUAACUUCAAAUUUUAUGCGAAUGAAUACUGGUUAUCAGAAGCAUGAAACAAAACUUGUGAUCUAAAGGGGCCUAGCCCGACUUGUUAUUUUAUUAUUCG
This 2716-nucleotide long non-coding RNA is filed under the name Salvia miltiorrhiza (redroot sage). RNAcentral's name for it is "long non-coding RNA (SMIL_LNC005548)". Lineage: Eukaryota; Viridiplantae; Streptophyta; Magnoliopsida; Lamiales; Lamiaceae. The record is from RNAcentral.